CCUACGGGGGGCAGCAGUGGGGAAUAUUGCACAAUGGGCGGAAGCCUGAUGCAGCAACGCCGCGUGAGCGAUGAAGGCCUUCGGGAUGUAAAGCUCUAUCCGCAGGGAAGAUAAUGACGGUACUUGAGGAGGAAGCCCCGGCUAACUACGUGCCAGCAGCCGCGGUAAUACGUAGGGGGCUAGCGUUAUCCGGAAUUACUGGGCGUAAAGGGAGCGCAGGCGGCUUCGUAAGUCUGGGGUGAAAGGCUACGGCUCAACCGUAGUAAGCCUUUGAA
RNAcentral lists this ribosomal RNA (275 nucleotides) under uncultured bacterium. Its description in RNAcentral is "partial 16S ribosomal RNA". It matches the Rfam family "Bacterial small subunit ribosomal RNA", at positions 338 to 631 of the family's 1533-position model. The record is from RNAcentral.